UUACAUGAAGCAAGCCUUAAUCAACCAGAUAUACACUGCUAUCAAAGGUAAAUAUAUUGUCAUUGCUUUUCUCAAAACAUAUUUCUAAAAUAACUUAUAUAAUGUAAAAAAGGCAGCUUUAAAAUAAUUACAAUUAUGAAUGUAGAAAUGCAGGCAGAAAAGGAGAUCUAAUAUGGAAAUUUACGUCUCUCUUUCUCUUUCUUUCGUUCUUUACACAUUCACACACACACGCACAUCUAUCAAAGUUACAGUAUUCCAACAUGGCUCUAUAAAGGUGUUGUGUUCUAGGAGUCCAUAAAUUCCAGCUGUGUUUGAAAAGUGCAAAGACACUGAAACACUACCGAAGGAGAGCAGCAUCAGAUAUAAUUCCUCAAAGGGUCGAAAAUGGGUGGUACUAACACAAGAGCUGAAAAAGCAGAGCGAGAACGUAAUGAAGCUCAAGCAA
Molecule: non-coding RNA, 445 nt
Organism: Danio rerio (zebrafish)
Lineage: Eukaryota; Metazoa; Chordata; Actinopteri; Cypriniformes; Danionidae
Source: Ensembl